GAUGAACGCUGGCGGCGUGCCUAAUACAUGCAAGUCGAGCGAACGGACGAGAAGCUUGCUUUUCUGAUGUUAGCGGCGGACGGGUGAGUAACACGUGGAUAACCUACCUAUAAGACUGGGAUAACUUCGGGAAACCGGAGCUAAUACCGGAUAAUAUUUUGAACCGCAUGGUUCAAAAGUGAAAGACGGUCUUGCUGUCACUUAUAGAUGGAUCCGCGCUGCAUUAGCUAGUUGUUAAGGUAACGGCUUACCAAGGCAACGAUGCAUAGCCGACCUGAGAGGGUGAUCGGCCACACUGGAACUGAGACACGGUCCAGACUCCUACGGGAGGCCGCAGUAGGGAAUCUUCCGCAAUGGGCGAAAGCCUGACGGAGCAACGCCGCGUGAGUGAUGAAGGUCUUCGGAUCGUAAAACUCUGUUAUUAGGGAAGAACAUAUGUGUAAGUAACUGUGCACAUCUUGACGGUACCUAAUCAGAAAGCCACGGCUAACUACGUG
This 497-nucleotide ribosomal RNA is filed under the name uncultured bacterium. Its description in RNAcentral is "partial 16S ribosomal RNA". It matches the Rfam family "Bacterial small subunit ribosomal RNA", at positions 28 to 507 of the family's 1533-position model. The record is from RNAcentral.